AGAGAAGAGGGCCUCACAUUUGCUUCUGAUUCCACGCAACUUCCCAUCUCUCUCGUUCUUUCCACCGCCACCGCCGCUAGGGUUGCCGCCGCCGCUGCCAACGCCGCCCCAAGCCGUAUUCGCCUCGACGGGUCUCAACCUGCCAGGCGGAGCGACCCCCCGAUGCCGGUGCUCGAGGGCGAGGGAAGCUUCUAGAAGGGGGCUGAGGAGGCGUGGUUAGGCCAUUAGGGUCUGACUGGUGUUGGGAGGCGGGGCCGGAUUGGGGGAGGUUUCGAGGGAGGAGGGGACGCGGAUGAGGGCCGCUGCAACGUCGGGGACAUCUUGCCGGGGACCAUUGUGUGGGUGCGGCGAAGGAACGGCUACUGGUGGCUCCGACGGGAUCUUGGGCCAAGGCGAGUUGCCGCCAUCGCUGAUCAUGUCUCCCAGGUCUGGCACGCCGGACAAGCUUCUCGGCCACGAGGACGCCAGCAUGUCCUCGCUCGCUUCACAAUCCAUACAGGAGGGGGACUGCAUACUAUAAGUGCCUCAAAAUGUUUUCUGUUGCGGCUGAUCUAGAGAUGGUCUCCACAAGAAAAAAUUGGACCAGUUGACCUUCCACGGGCAUGCAUAUCAUGAUAUAAUCAAGAGCCACAAAUUUUAGUUUUGCCUUUUUCACAUAGCUUUUAAAGAUAAACGAGGAUCUGCCUGAUGCAGAUGGCACAUGACAGAUUCUGAUUAAUUAACUAGCGCGAAGGAUUGUGGUGAAUUAGUCGGCCACCAGUGAAGCCUAGCAGCAGGAAAAAACUAAAUGUAGACCAUUUCAUCAGAAUUUGUACAAGAAGGCGGGGAUGAGCGUAUGGCAGCAAGGGAGGCGGCUCGGCUCGGACCGGCCAUGGCGCUAGCGCUUCUGAUUCCCCACCGGCCUCCUUAGUCCCCUAGCCACAACCGGCUCCAAUCCCUCGUCUGCUAUGGUGCUGUGGGAGGAAGAGGAAGAGUAGGCAUGCUUUCUGCUGCAUCCAGCAUCCACACGUCAGAUUGACGAGCCUAAACUCUGGGCUUUGAGAAGGCUUCAAUUUUCAGAAACUGUUGCCCAGAGAGAUGUCGAUGAAGCACUACGCCUGUUGCAGAUGUCAAAGUACUUGAUCUACUUUGAUGACCGCCAGCGGUCUAGCCUUGAGGUGAUCUCUGACAUAUACUCCAUCCUGAGAGAUGAAGCAGCAAGGACUAGCAACAUGGAUGUCAAAUUUGGUCUUUCUCUUAACCUUAUCUCCAGAAAGUUAUAAUCUCUACCUAUGGCUACAUUAAUUAGUCCAUUGCUGGGCAUUGAUUGCUAACAGAAAUUCUCUCCUGCUCCAAUGUUUGUGAGAAUAGGAGUGCACUGAGGCUCAGCUGAAGGAAUGCCCGGAGGAGUAUGCAUCCUUGAACGUGUGGCAGAUCCACCCAAGCACAUUUGACAUACAGUUCUGCGACGCCUGAUCCAGGAACAAACAUUCCAUCAUAAUCAGACGAUUGUGAUGCAUGAUUAGGGCGUCUAAUGCCAUUGUUUGGGAUCUAUUAAGUUUGAAGGACCUUAGUGAUAGCACAUGCAGAUUGAUUACAGUUCUACAGAUUUUUAUGCAUAAAUGGAAGUACAGUGGUAGACCUGAGAAGGUUUGAACAUUUAUUUCAUAAUUGGGGAAUCAAUUGUUGACCAAGUUGCUCCAUUCUAAUUCCUGCUGAUAAUUUUAUUCUUCUUACUCCCUUUUUUGGGUGUUGUUAAUGAUGUUGGUUGUUUGCAUAUUGUCUAAAGAUAUAAUCCUCACUAAGUAAUUAUUUCUGUAAGUUGCAAAUAGAAAUGUAGCACUAAAACGAUAAGGUUGUAUUAACUUCCUCUUUCUUUUCUUUUCAUCUGCUUUUGAUUCAUAUUUCGGUUAUUUGCUGUUACUAAUGAUAAGAUUUUUUUGUGUGCGUAGUUCAUUGACUCCUUAUUACAAUGAGCAUGUCCUUCUUUCCAUAAAAGAGCUUGAGGAGGUAAAUGAAGAUGGUGUUUCCACUCUGUUCUACCUACAAAAAUUUACCCAGAUGAAGGGAUGAGGUAAAUGAAGAUGGUGUUUCCACUCUGUUCUACCUACAGAAAGUUUACCCCAGUUGAGGGAAGAGGAAGAACAUUUUCUCUUUAAGCAGUCACAAAUAACAAAUUAUAUUCUGAAGCAACCUGGCAUUUACUGUGUGUGCCUAUGCUUAUGUAUGCAGAUGAAUGAGCUUCCAAGCAAGGGUUCAUUGGGAGUAAGAACUUAAAGAAAAUGAAGAACCACUGAAGGAAGAGCUUCGCCCAUGAGCUUUGGAUAAAGAGGUCAAACGGUAAUUUGAACGGCUACUAUUGAUUAACACUAUUUUGUUGAUUUAAGCUACACAUAUCACCCAAUAAUGCUUAAUCAUGUGAUUAAUCUGAAAACGUAUGAGGUUCACCUAUGUGUUAUCAUGCCAGCAAUUUGGAAAUGACAAGUGUUCUGGUCAUUCUAAUGCCCAUGUAAGUGUAGCUCUUCUAAUCUUAUUAGAUUUGCGACAUGCUCCAUUUCUGUUCAAUAAUUGAGCACACAAUGCUCUUAAGCUUACUUAAAUUGAGAAGGAAGCUUAAGAUGUAGCUUCCACACCUGUCUUGAUGUAGUUAAAGAUGUAGCUUCCACACCCGUCUUGGUGUAGUUAAAACUUAAAACGAAUGUAAGGGAAAUUCAGGGAUGUAGUUUGCUCUGCUUCAUUCUAUUUUUUGUUCAACUUUAACAAAUGAUUCCUGAUAAAAUAUUCCCUCUUUAAUAUUUAUCUUUAUCAUUCUGGCUGAUUUCUGCUGACACUGACAACCUCCAAUUGCAGUACAUAUCCAGAGUCUUUUAACUUCUCUUUUUAGCUUUUGGUUUUCAAUUCUGUUACAUAUGAAUGAUGGAUUUUUCCUUUAUAUUUGUUGUUUAAGAAAAGCUAAUAACUACUCAUAUUAUUAUGAUUGUUGAUUUUCCAUUCAAUACAAAUCCUUUUAGGCAAUUUAAAUCUCAGCGAAUGUGGUAUUUCACUAAACAUGCGCUCAGAUUCUUCCAAGUUAAUAGUAUGAAUUCGAUUGGAUGGGACCACCAGAAAAUAUUUUACUUGUAGUUCCCAUUGCUGCAGAUAUUGGUUCUUCCUAAAUUUAUUCAUUAGGUAGUCAAUGCUUUUCUUAUUACUACAUUUUGCACAUAGCCAGAUUCUUUAAUAGCCACCAUAGUACUUAUUAAGUUAUUUGUUCUAUUUCAGGCAAUAAGAGCAUACCUCCUGUGUUGCAAUGUUCAAACCAGAAUUAGGCAUGAUUUUGGGAUUGUCCAGUGAAACUUUUCAGUUCUACCAUGUAUAUUCUUGGUGCUUGGAUUUAGUAUUAGACCUGGAGAUUCUACAUAAAUACAAAUAAUGUGUGGAUUUUCCUGUUGAAACUGCUUCUGUGUAAUAAUAUUUCUGGAAUGACAUUGUCAGUA
This is a long non-coding RNA of Triticum aestivum (bread wheat), 3455 nucleotides long. RefSeq lists it as uncharacterized. Lineage: Eukaryota; Viridiplantae; Streptophyta; Magnoliopsida; Poales; Poaceae. The transcript is spliced from 7 exons. The record is from RefSeq and is a predicted model, not a curated record.